This 440-nucleotide ribosomal RNA is filed under the name uncultured bacterium. RNAcentral describes it as "partial 16S ribosomal RNA". It matches the Rfam family "Bacterial small subunit ribosomal RNA", at positions 338 to 795 of the family's 1533-position model. The record is from RNAcentral.
CCUACGGGAGGCAGCAGUGGGGAAUAUUGCACAAUGGGGGGAACCCUGAUGCAGCGACGCCGCGUGAGUGAAGAAGGAUUUCGGUAUUUACAGCUCUAUCAGCAGGGGAGAAAAUGACGGUACCUGACUAAGAAGCCCCGGCUAACUACGUUCCAGCAGCCGCGGUACUACGUAGGGGGCAAGCGUUAUCCGGAUUUACUGGGUGUAAAGGGAGCGCAGACGGCUGUGCAAGUCUGGAGUGAAAGGCGGGGGCCCAACCCGCGGACUGCUCUGGAAACUGUAAAGCUGGAGUGCAGGAGAGGUAAGCGGAAUUACUAGUGUAGCGGUGAAAUGCGUAGAUAUUAGGAGGAACACCAGUGGCGAAGGCGGCUUACUGGACUGCAACUGACGUUGAGGCUCGAAAGCGUGGGGAGCAAACAGGAUUAGAUACCCGGGUAGUC